Molecule: ribosomal RNA, 253 nt
Filed under: uncultured bacterium
Lineage: Bacteria
Description: partial 16S ribosomal RNA
Rfam family: Bacterial small subunit ribosomal RNA
Source: RNAcentral
UACGUAGGGUGCGAGCGUUGUCCGGAAUUAUUGGGCGUAAAGGGCUCGUAGGCGGUCUGUUGCGUCGGUAGUGAAAACUCAGGGCUUAACCCUGAGCCUGCUUCCGAUACGGGCAGACUAGAGGUAUGCAGGGGAGAACGGAAUUCCUGGUGUAGCGGUGAAAUGCGCAGAUAUCAGGAGGAACACCGGUGGCGAAGGCGGUUCUCUGGGCAUUACCUGACGCUGAGGAGCGAAAGCGUGGGGAGCGAACAGG